Molecule: transfer RNA, 85 nt
Filed under: Felis catus (domestic cat)
Lineage: Eukaryota; Metazoa; Chordata; Mammalia; Carnivora; Felidae
Also listed under: 1 other name
Rfam family: tRNA
About the family: Transfer RNA (tRNA) molecules are approximately 80 nucleotides in length. Their secondary structure includes four short double-helical elements and three loops (D, anti-codon, and T loops).
Source: Rfam by way of RNAcentral
GCCUGGGUGGCUCAGUCGGUUGGGCGUCUGACUUCGGCUCAGGCCAUGAUCUCACAGUUCGUGAGUUCGAGCCCCGCGUCAGGCU